GUUCAGAGAGGGGUCAAUGUCCUAUCAGCUAGUUGGGAGGGUAAUGGCCUACCAAGGCGAAGACGGGUAGCCGGCCUGAGAGGGUGGUCGGCCACAUUGGGACUGAGACACUGCCCAGACUCCUACGGGAGGCUGCAGUCGAGUAUCUUUCGCAAUGCCCGAAAGGGUGACGAAGCGACGCCGCGUGUGGGAAUAAGGCCUUCGGGUUGUAAACCACUGUCAGGAGUUAAGAAGUGCAAGGGUGCGAAUAGCGCCUUUGCUUGACUAAGGCUCCAGAGGAAGCCACGGCUAACUCUGUGCCAGCAGCCGCGGUAAUACAGAGGUGGCAAGCGUUGUUCGGAAUUAUUGGGCGUAAAGAGCACGUAGGCGGUUCUGCAAGUCGGCUGUGAAAGCCUUCCGCUCAACGGAAGAACAGCAGUUGAUACUACAGGACUAGAGUGCGGGAGGG
RNAcentral lists this ribosomal RNA (448 nucleotides) under uncultured Planctomycetota bacterium. RNAcentral describes it as "bacterial SSU rRNA". It matches the Rfam family "Bacterial small subunit ribosomal RNA", at positions 217 to 656 of the family's 1533-position model. Lineage: Bacteria; Pseudomonadati; Planctomycetota. The record is from RNAcentral.